AUCUAGCCGACGAGUCCCAAAUAGGACUAAAUGCGCAUCACGGUU
RNAcentral lists this non-coding RNA (45 nucleotides) under Trichobilharzia regenti. The record is from RNAcentral. Lineage: Eukaryota; Metazoa; Platyhelminthes; Trematoda; Strigeidida; Schistosomatidae.